This 73-nucleotide transfer RNA is filed under the name Trichonephila clavata. Its description in RNAcentral is "tRNA-Met". It matches the Rfam family "tRNA". From Rfam's summary of the family: Transfer RNA (tRNA) molecules are approximately 80 nucleotides in length. Their secondary structure includes four short double-helical elements and three loops (D, anti-codon, and T loops). Further hydrogen bonds mediate the characteristic L-shaped molecular structure. tRNAs have two regions of fundamental functional importance: the anti-codon, which is responsible for specific mRNA codon recognition, and the 3' end, to which the tRNAs corresponding amino acid is attached (by aminoacyl-tRNA synthetases). tRNAs cope with the degeneracy of the genetic code in two manners: having more than one tRNA (with a specific anti-codon) for a particular amino acid; and 'wobble' base-pairing, i.e. permitting non-standard base-pairing at the 3rd anti-codon position. The record is from RNAcentral. Lineage: Eukaryota; Metazoa; Arthropoda; Arachnida; Araneae; Nephilidae.
GCCUCGGUAGCGCAGUAGGCAGCGCGUCAGUCUCAUAAUCUAAAGGUCGUGAGUUCGAACCUCACCCGGGGCA